GACGAACGCUGGCGGCGUGCUUAACACAUGCAAGUCGAACGGAAAGGCCCUGCUUUUGUGGGGUGCUCGAGUGGCGAACGGGUGAGUAACACGUGAGUAACCUGCCCUUGACUUUGGGAUAACUUCAGGAAACUGGGGCUAAUACCGGAUAGGAGCUCGUGCUGCAUGUGGGGGGUGGAAAGUUUCGGCGGUUGGGGAUGGACUCGCGGCUUAUCAGCUUGUUGGUGGGGUAGUGGCUUACCAAGGCUUUGACGGGUAGGCGGCCUGAGAGGGUGACCGGCCACAUUGGGACUGAGAUACGGCCCAGACUCCUACGGGAGGCAGCAGUGGGGAAUAUUGCACAAUGGGCGGAAGCCUGAUGCAGCAACGCCGCGUGCGGGAUGACGGCCUUCGGGUUGUAAACCGCUUUCGCCUGUGACGAAGCGUGAGUGACGGUAAUGGGUAAAGAAGCACCGGCUAACUACGUG
RNAcentral lists this ribosomal RNA (467 nucleotides) under uncultured bacterium. RNAcentral describes it as "partial 16S ribosomal RNA". It matches the Rfam family "Bacterial small subunit ribosomal RNA", at positions 28 to 507 of the family's 1533-position model. The record is from RNAcentral.